UGGGGAAUAUUGGACAAUGGGCGAAAGCCUGAUCCAGACAUGCCGCGUGUGUGAAGAAGGUCUUCGGAUUGUAAAGCACUUUAAGUUGGGAGGAAGGGCAGUAAGCGAAUACCUUGCUGUUUUGACGUUACCGACAGAAUAAGCACCGGCUAACUCUGUGCCAGCAGCCGCGGUAAUACAGAGGGUGCAAGCGUUAAUCGGAAUUACUGGGCGUAAAGCGCGCGUAGGUGGUUCGUUAAGUUGAAUGUGAAAGCCCCGGGCUCAACCUGGGAACUGCAUCCAAAACUGGCGAGCUAGAGUAGGGCAGAGGGUGGUGGAAUUUCCUGUGUAGCGGUGAAAUGCGUAGAUAUAGGAAGGAACACCAGUGGCGAAGGCGACCACCUGGGCUCAUACUGACACUGAGGUGCGAAAGCGUGGGGAGCAAACAGG
This 429-nucleotide ribosomal RNA is filed under the name Pseudomonadota bacterium. RNAcentral describes it as "Proteobacteria bacterium partial 16S ribosomal RNA". It matches the Rfam family "Bacterial small subunit ribosomal RNA", at positions 355 to 776 of the family's 1533-position model. Lineage: Bacteria; Pseudomonadati; Pseudomonadota. The record is from RNAcentral.